CAAAGCAAUGGAAAUAUCUUCCUCGCCAGCCCUCUAUCUCAUGGAAAAGAUCUCUCUAUUCCCCGUCUCUUCCCACCCCUCUCCUCUUCCCCAUGCCGCCACCACUUCCCCCAUCCUCUUGGACGCCUCGUCUCUUCCACCUCCGCCUCCAUCACCUCCUCCUCCCCUGCCUCCGCACCCGACCACGCGCUGUGGACGAGGAGGCAACAGCUCGGGAGGCAGGCAAGAGGAAAACGGGAGGGAUCCCCUCCCGAGCCCCGCGCCUCUCCUCUUUCCCACUGCGCCGCCAACCCCUUUCCCUCCCAUCUUGAGCUGCUGUAGCUCCUCCCUCAACCCGCGGCGCGCCUUCUUCUCCGACCGUUGUUGCCCGCACUGCUACCGCCACGGCCUGCUACUGCUCCUCCUCCAGCUCCUCGCCCCAGCGACGCUUCCUCCCCUCCUCUCAUGCAAGGCGUAUUGGGGCGUGGAGGCGGCGGGGCAGCAGCCAGUCAUUGCCCUGCAGGGGCAGCAACAGGUCGGCUUUCCUGUUGUGGCGGCGACACGUCUAGAGGAACCGGUCGCCCUUCUCCUGGAUGAGCGACGGAGCCGAAAAGCCGGAACUGACCAUUGAGGAGCUGGGGCAGCCGUGCCACAUAGAAGGUCGAGGUGGACCAGGAGAAGCUGCACGAGGCUCCAUCGCCUCCUGCUCAAAUUUGGUUUCUCUAUGACUACAUGGUGUUUGAUGAAAAUCCAAGAAGGACGGGGAGGAUUGACCUAUGCGGAUAAGAGAAGAAAACUGAAACAUGUUCACUAGAGUGUCCUGGGGUGGCCUGCGAGCUACGAGGAUGGGGCUGCGAGACUGGAUUGGCAGCCGACAGCGAGAGAGGAAGGGUGGUUGUUCCUGUGAUGAGGUGGUGAUGAUUGCCAUAGUGGAAUUUUGUAGGUACAACGGCGGCGAGCUUUGAGGGCCUCCGGUUUGGUGGCAGCAUGAGCCUCGUGGAGUUGUCUCAGACAACAUCACAUUUAUUUGUUUUUGUUUCCCCACUUAGACUACUGCUUUGAUUCUGAAGUGUGGAGAUGGAUGUGACUUACCAUGGAGGAAGUGGGUACAAUAUCCAUUUGAAAGAUGCAACAGGCUCAAAAUGAGUUUCCGGUGCAAGUGUAGCUGCAAGCCAGAUUGGUUCUUACAGCAAUGUAGUGAUUUGUACCCUGCAAAGUUCCUCUCUUGGUUCACUGACACGAUCAACCUAUGUGCACGUAGAUGAUGUUUUGUUUCCCUUCCCAGAAUCUCUGUUAUGUAUUGGUGUUGAUGUUUUCUUCACUUGGAGAUGCAAAAACCGCCCGAGACAGUUCAGGCCGACGAUUCUCCCUCGCUCGAGGAUUCCAGUAACUAUGAGUUCUAGGUGAAGAUGUAUGUUUCCUACAAACAUUUUCAGUUUGACGAGAGCUUUGCCAUUCAGCUUGAAAAAGUAUGUUCCGUCUAGGACAGAGAACCAUGAGUAUCACCACUGUUGGAGGAAAAAGCUAGAGCAAUUAUGUUUCUACUUUCAUGCAUUAUGGUUGUCUAUUCUGGGAAGGAUAGAGUAAGUUUCCCUUUUAUACAAAGGCACUACUCAGGGUCUUAAUAAGCUCAGGAUUCUCAGGCCAUGGUCUUUGCUCUUUCAGGUUUACAUAUUUCGUAUGCCUAAAUAGUGAAAGUAGUUUAUUUUCAUUUAACUGUUUAUAUGCUAUUCUCUCAUUGUCUGUGUUGGCUAAGAAAUACUAAUGUAAAUAUUCUUCGAUUUGAAAAGUUGUCAUCUCUUAUUUUUUUCGUUUUACCGCUGUCUUGUGCUACAGUUUGUUAGGCAAAUUUAGCUUUCAACUCAACAAUUUGCUUGCUUUCUAAAGCAUGUACUACUAUUGAAGUUCAGUAUAUCAAGUAAUAAUAGUGUGUUAAAAUGAAUAAUACACAUUGAGCUAUAUAUAUUUGCUGCAAUUCGGGCCUGUUGUUGUAAUGUGGUAUAUCUCCUCCCUUGUAAUAUGUAAGGUUGAAGUGACAGUUUAAUAUUCUUCCGCUCAGCAGCACCAAGUACGUGUUUGCAGCCUUUCGGUGCUACAUGUGAGUUCAGUUUACUGCUAACUAUAGUUGUUUAUGGAUUAGUGUAUUUUGUUGUAGGUUAAAUGGAGUUAGUAAGACCAUAUUUGAUGCUGAUCAUAAGAUACUAACGGGCUCCAUGUAAUCCCAAGUGCAUUGCACAACAAUUGUCAUUUUGCAAGAUCUUCUAGAGGGCUAUAUGUCCUACGCUCCUCUUGAUGACAUAUAUGAGGACUCGCAACCCUGAGCCUGGAAGACAACCGUUGAGGCGGUGGUCAUGGGGCAACGAUAGUCGAUAGCUACUAUCAGAACAUAAACGUAUGGCCCUCCUUGUUGCAUUGAAGGAUUAUCGUCUAUUGGAUUUGCAGAACCAGUUAAUGACAAGAUGAUGGCAGUAGCAAUGGAGGGUCGUGGUUUCUGAAUGCUGGGACUUCCAGUUUUUAGGAUGGGUUAUUUAGUAUGAACAAAUAUGGCAACAUUCAUUAGUCGUACUGUUUCUUGAGGUGAUGCCACUGCUACAGGUUCCUAAACCCAAUAGUUGAAUGCCCCCCAGUAAAAUUUGGGAAUGGAUGCUUUAAUGUAGAAGCCCAUCUAAUUAAAGGAAAUGAGGACAGGGCAACCAUAGCUUACUUGGCAGAAACCUGCUCCGGGUUCGUAUAAGCUGAAUACUGGCGCAAGUUACUUUGAUGAUGGAACAGGUUCAGUUGCUGCAGUGCUUAGAAACUCUCGAGGGGAAGCUAUUGCGGGAGCUUCCGAGCUAAUUUACCAUGUUCUUAAUGCCCAAACUUCUGAAACUUUGGCGCUGUUGCGAGGUUUGAAGCUUCUUUCAGAGAUUGGGUGCACCAAGGUGACAGUCGAAUCAGAUUGUCUAGAACUGAUUGAAGCACGUAGUGGAAAAAUUGAGAUUUUGGGUCCCAAUGUAGCAAUACUUGCGGACUUUUUUCAUAUUGCUCAUGAAAUUCUUGGAAUUUGUUUCAAGCAUUGUCCAAGUGAAGCUAAUGGAUUGGCACAUUUUCUGGCUAGAGGGUAGGCCCAUUGGAUCUGUUGAUGCUACUGUGUUUCGACUUGAGAUCAGAUACUUUUGUUUCAGCGUAAAGGUCGACAAGUGCCACCGCCACUCCCUAUGUUGUUUCUAUUCUAACGCGAUCUACUUGAGACCAGGAGACAAACGUCUUUCACUCCUAUGGGGUCCAACUCCUAAUGAUUGAUGAUGUACAAUGUGUCUAAUUCCAGUUCAAACGUCUUUCACUUGAUUGGCUUGACCCCUUAUUUUGUCUUGCAUAUUUUUAGAUGAUAUUAGUAGUCACUCGAGCAUCAA
Triticum dicoccoides is the source of this 3371-nucleotide long non-coding RNA. RefSeq lists it as uncharacterized. The record is from RefSeq and is a predicted model, not a curated record. Lineage: Eukaryota; Viridiplantae; Streptophyta; Magnoliopsida; Poales; Poaceae. The transcript is spliced from 11 exons.